GGAGACGUGGGAGAGUGGUCUAAUCCAGCGCCUUGCUAAGGCGUCGUACCCCGCAAGGGGUACCGUGAGUUCGAAUCUCACCGUCUCCGCCA
Molecule: transfer RNA, 92 nt
Filed under: Bacteriovorax stolpii
Lineage: Bacteria; Pseudomonadati; Bdellovibrionota; Bacteriovoracia; Bacteriovoracales; Bacteriovoracaceae
Also listed under: 4 other names
Description: tRNA-Ser
Rfam family: tRNA
About the family: Transfer RNA (tRNA) molecules are approximately 80 nucleotides in length.
Source: RNAcentral